RNAcentral lists this ribosomal RNA (279 nucleotides) under uncultured archaeon. RNAcentral's name for it is "partial 16S rRNA". It matches the Rfam family "Archaeal small subunit ribosomal RNA", at positions 1047 to 1325 of the family's 1478-position model. The record is from RNAcentral.
GAGACCCACGCCAACAGUUGCCAGCUCGUCCUCCGGGAUGGUGGGGACACUGUUGGGACCGCCUCUGCUAAAGAGGAGGAAGGAAUGGGCAACGGUAGGUCAGCAUGCCCCGAAUUAUCCGGGCUACACGCGGGCUACAAUGGGUGGGACAAUGGGUAUCGACACCGAGAGGUGAAGGCAAUCUCCUAAACCCAUCCUUAGUUCGGAUUGUGGGCUGCAACUCGCCCACAUGAAGCUGGAAUCCGUAGUAAUCGCGGAUCAACAUUCCGCGGUGAAUAU